GAACGCUAGCGGGAGGCCUAACACAUGCAAGCCGAGCGGUAUUUGUUCUUCGGAACAGAGAGAGCGGCGCACGGGUGCGGAACACGUGUGCAACCUGCCUUUAUCUGGGGGAUAGCCUUUCGAAAGGAAGAUUAAUACCCCAUAAUAUAUUGAGUGGCAUCACUUGAUAUUGAAAACUCCGGUGGAUAGAGAUGGGCACGCGCAAGAUUAGAUAGUUGGUGAGGUAACGGCUCACCAAGUCAAUGAUCUUUAGGGGGCCUGAGAGGGUGAUCCCCCACACUGGUACUGAGACACGGACCAGACUCCUACGGGAGGCAGCAGUGAGGAAUAUUGGACAAUGGGUUAGCGCCUGAUCCAGCCAUCCCGCGUGAAGGACGACGGCCCUAUGGGUUGUAAACUUCUUUUGUAUAGGGAUAAACCUACUCUCGUGAGAGUAGCUGAAGGUACUAUACGAAUAAGCACCGGCUAACUCCGUG
This 476-nucleotide ribosomal RNA is filed under the name uncultured bacterium. Its description in RNAcentral is "partial 16S ribosomal RNA". It matches the Rfam family "Bacterial small subunit ribosomal RNA", at positions 31 to 507 of the family's 1533-position model. The record is from RNAcentral.